This 253-nucleotide ribosomal RNA is filed under the name uncultured bacterium. RNAcentral's name for it is "partial 16S ribosomal RNA". It matches the Rfam family "Bacterial small subunit ribosomal RNA", at positions 524 to 776 of the family's 1533-position model. The record is from RNAcentral.
UACGGAAGGUCCGGGCGUUAUCCGGAUUUAUUGGGUUUAAAGGGAGCGUAGGCCGGAGAUUAAGCGUGUUGUGAAAUGUAGACGCUCAACGUCUGCACUGCAGCGCGAACUGGUUUCCUUGAGUACGCACAAAGUGGGCGGAAUUCGUGGUGUAGCGGUGAAAUGCUUAGAUAUCACACAGAACACCGAUUGCGAAGGCAUCUGGCGAAUCCGUAACUGACGCUGAAGCUCGAAAGUGCGGGUAUCGAACAGG